UACAGAGGUCUCAAGCGUUGUUCGGAUUCAUUGGGCGUAAAGGGUGCGUAGGCGGCGCGGUAAGUCGGGUGUGAAAGCCCGGAGCUCAACUCCGGAACUGCCUUUGAGACUGUAUCGCUUGAACACGGGAGAGGUGAGUGGAAUUCCGAGUGUAGAGGUGAAAUUCGUAGAUAUUCGGAAGAACACCAGUGGCGAAGGCGACUCGCUGGACAAGUAUUGACGCUGAGGUGCGAAAGCGUGGGGAGCAAACAGG
RNAcentral lists this ribosomal RNA (253 nucleotides) under uncultured bacterium. RNAcentral describes it as "partial 16S ribosomal RNA". It matches the Rfam family "Bacterial small subunit ribosomal RNA", at positions 524 to 776 of the family's 1533-position model. The record is from RNAcentral.